GACGAACGCUGGCGGCGUGCUUAACACAUGCAAGUCGAACGGAAAGGCCCUGCUUUUGUGGGGUGCUCGAGUGGCGAACGGGUGAGUAACACGUGAGUAACCUGCCCUUGACUUUGGGAUAACUUCAGGAAACUGGGGCUAAUACCGGAUAGGAGCUCCUGCUGCAUGGUGGGGGUUAGAAAGUUUUGGCGGUUGGGGAUGGACUCGCGGCUUAUCAGCUUGUUGGUGGGGUAGUGGCUUACCAAGGCUUUGACGGGUAGCCGGCCUGAGAGGGUGACCGGCCACAUUGGGACUGAGAUACGGCCCAGACUCCUACGGGAGGCAGCAGUGGGGAAUAUUGCACAAUGGGCGGAAGCCUGAUGCAGCAACGCCGCGUGCGGGAUGACGGCCUUCGGGUUGUAAACCGCUUUCGCCUGUGACGAAGCGUGAGUGACGGUAAUGGGUAAAGAAGCACCGGCUAACUACGUG
Molecule: ribosomal RNA, 468 nt
Filed under: uncultured bacterium
Lineage: Bacteria
Description: partial 16S ribosomal RNA
Rfam family: Bacterial small subunit ribosomal RNA
Source: RNAcentral